UCCACACCUCCUCACUCUCAUUUAAGGGUUAGCAGCUGAGGGAGCUGCAUCUCUCUGUGUAGAGAUGGUGCUUCUGUCAAGCUGUUACCAGUCAGCAGAAGAGCCAGCAAUCAGAGCCACUGAGCUGAAGGAAUGCCUGCUCUCUCUCAGCAAUGCCUUCCAUCGAAGCUGAUGGGGUCCUGUCAGCAGCUUAUCCGGACAGAACCACCGGCGCCAUCUUCAUUAGGGGAAAAGCUAAUAUAAACAAAUAAGGCGUUAGUGUAGACAGCAGACUGAGACUAUUACUGAAAAAUGCUUUGCGGCAGUUGCUAUGCCUUUAGUUUUAAAAAUAUAUAAAUGUUAUAUGAAUCUCAAAUCCUCUUUUAUUUACAUAAAAUAUUUAUACAUCAAGCAAGACAAUUUCACAACUUUAUAAUGUAUUUUCCUGUUGGAUUAAUCUUUUCAUAUGGUAACCACAUUACAAGUAAACAUUUUCCUAGUCUCAACUACAUGAAUGUGGCUAAAAGCUUCCUUGUUAUUUUAUAGUUACAGCAUUUCAAAUGUAUCCCUUUUUGACGUGGUUAGGCAGCCUGCCAGUUUUACCACUAAAUUAUAGCAGAGAAAACACUCCGCAGAAUUUGAUUAGAUUUCUUCCUUCUCCCCAUGAGUAAGGCAGAGCAAAUUUAUGUUCAAAAUGCAAGCUGGGUUCUAGAGAAUUGAAUAUAGAUCCAUAUUUGCAGUGUUAAAAAUGCAUGCAAGCUUUGUAGUUGAAAAUACACCUUGUUUGUUGUGAUGCUUUAUAUUAUUGUUGCUUUUUGUUCUGUUAUGUCACUAUCAUCUGUAGAAUGAAAAGCAUUAGACCAUAUUGAAGUCAGGGUUUGUAUUUCAGACAAUUAGUGAUGAAGAUGUCUUAAUCUCUUCUACUAAUAAACUGUAUUAA
Numida meleagris (helmeted guineafowl) is the source of this 919-nucleotide long non-coding RNA. RefSeq lists it as uncharacterized. The record is from RefSeq and is a predicted model, not a curated record. The transcript is spliced from 2 exons. NCBI's taxonomy places the organism in Eukaryota, Metazoa, Chordata, Aves, Galliformes, Numididae.